This is a long non-coding RNA of Dermochelys coriacea (leatherback sea turtle), 540 nucleotides long. RefSeq lists it as uncharacterized. The transcript has 2 exons. The record is from RefSeq and is a predicted model, not a curated record. Lineage: Eukaryota; Metazoa; Chordata; Testudines; Dermochelyidae.
GUGAGAGAGGCAAGGCAAGGUGUUCAGGGACAUAGCAGUAAGGUUUAGAAGUGUGUGGACCUUAACUGCUUAUUGUAGGGUCCCUGGGCUGGAAUUCAGUGUAGAAGGUGGGCCUGGGUUCCCUUACUAGCCUCUAGGAAAGUGGCACCAUCAAGAGCCACUGAAUGGGAAGACUGCCUGGGAUGUUGGGUCCUGAAAGAUUUUGAUACACACACCCCUGAAAGGCUAAAACUACAGAGACCUGGCUGGAAGGCCAAGCCAUGAAGUAGGAGCAGUCAAGUCCCAGGAGAGACAGAGUGACAGAAUUUCAGGAAGGAGUGUUGGCCUGGCAGAGCUAAUCCCCAGAUGCAGCCAGAAGGAGGCACCCUGGAUGUGAGUAGAAAGCCCCAUGACACUGUCACAAACCUUACCGUCUUCCAUUCCACGGUUUUGAUCCAUGGCAUGUUUUGCCUUUGACUCCAUGACCACUGAACUUCUUUAGGAGCCACUUGUGCAAGACUUUUCUGAAGUCAAAAUAAAUUGCCAGCUGUUUCUCCUUUA